ACCGUUGCAAUAGACCAUAUGCUGCAACUGUUGUUACCGUUGCAUAAGACAUUACCCCCUAUUGAAAUAGUUCUAAGAGUAAACCGUUGCAGUAGUAAAAUAACCGUUGCCAAAGAUAAAUCUACGGCAACGGUCCCGGUAUAGAUUCAUCUGUAGCAACAGUUAUUUGAUUUCCCCUCAUAUUUUCCCUCUUCUAAUUUUACUAAACUGGAUUUUACCUUUUUCUUAUAUCCAGCCCUAGACCUUUUUGUAUUCCUCCAACUUGCCUCUUAAACAUCAGAACAUAUCCAGCCCCUUCUCUUAACUUCGAACCCUAACCUCUUGCGCCAGUCAAUCCGGGAAGGCUUUCCGUCAUGGCUCCGGCAAAAACUAUCGUAUUUCUUCUCCAGUACACAUCCCAACUGACACACAACCUAGGGUAAGUAAUUUAACAGUAGCAACAAAGAGUCACAAAUCUUGCUCCUCUAUAUUCUUACCAACUGAUGUGAGACACCACAAAGUUCCAUAUGUUUGUGAGUGUCUCGACUUGCCUCGUCACUACUCCAUUGAGGUUACUCUUGAUACUUAUGGGGUACCGCUGUGAUGUACUCAUGUUACGCUUCUGUACAUUUUUGUAUAGAUCCAGACACUUCUGAUCGUGUUGGUUCUUGAGAGUUGUGUUUGCACGUCUGGAGUCUUCAAGGUAUACCUUCUUGACGUUCGCAUGCCUCAGAGUCACCUUCUGAUAUUAUCUUUACUGUUGUUUAUCUUCAUUUCAGAAUAUUAUUGUAUUUAGAAAUUCUAGUGUAUGUCGGUAGAGCUUAUGACUCUGUACUAUCGGUUCUGGGGAUUGUAUAACAUUUGUUCAGUUUUAGUUACGUUAUCUCAUUUA
Long non-coding RNA from Nicotiana tabacum (common tobacco), 871 nucleotides. RefSeq lists it as uncharacterized. The record is from RefSeq and is a predicted model, not a curated record. Lineage: Eukaryota; Viridiplantae; Streptophyta; Magnoliopsida; Solanales; Solanaceae.